GCAUUAAUGGGGUAGUGGUAACCUGGAUCGUUGCCAUUAGUGAUUUCAUUGAGUCAUUUCGACCCGCCGGGGGUUCGAUUCCCUCUUAAUGCA
Paramarasmius palmivorus is the source of this 93-nucleotide non-coding RNA. Lineage: Eukaryota; Fungi; Basidiomycota; Agaricomycetes; Agaricales; Marasmiaceae. The record is from the annotation of a GenBank genome assembly.